UAGAGUUUUAUCCUGGCUCAGAGUGAACGCUGGCGGUAGGCCUAACACAUGCAAGUCGAACGGCAGCACAGUAAGAGCUUGCUCUUAUGGGUGGCGAGUGGCGGACGGGUGAGGAAUACAUCGGAAUCUACUUUUUCGUGGGGGAUAACGUAGGGAAACUUACGCUAAUACCGCAUACGACCUACGGGUGAAAGCAGGGGAUCUUCGGACCUUGCGCGAUUGAAUGAGCCGAUGUCGGAUUAGCUAGUUGGCGGGGUAAAGGCCCACCAAGGCGACGAUCCGUAGCUGGUCUGAGAGGAUGAUCAGCCACACUGGAACUGAGACACGGUCCAGACUCCUACGGGAGGCAGCAGUGGGGAAUAUUGGACAAUGGGCGCAAGCCUGAUCCAGCCAUACCGCGUGGGUGAAGAAGGCCUUCGGGUUGUAAAGCCCUUUUGUUGGGAAAGAAAUCCAGCCGGCUAAUACCUGGUUGGGAUGACGGUACCCAAAGAAUAAGCACCGGCUAACUUCGUGCCAGCAGCCGCGGUAAUACGAAGGGUGCAAGCGUUACUCGGAAUUACUGGGCGUAAAGCGUGCGUAGGUGGUUGUUUAAGUCUGUUGUGAAAGCCCUGGGCUCAACCUGGGAACUGCAGUGGAAACUGGACAACUAGAGUGUGGUAGAGGGUAGCGGAAUUCCCGGUGUAGCAGUGAAAUGCGUAGAGAUCGGGAGGAACAUCCAUGGCGAAGGCAGCUACCGGACCAACACGACACGAGGCAGAAAGCUGAGCACCC
This 771-nucleotide ribosomal RNA is filed under the name Stenotrophomonas maltophilia. RNAcentral describes it as "bacterial SSU rRNA". It matches the Rfam family "Bacterial small subunit ribosomal RNA", at positions 1 to 769 of the family's 1533-position model. Lineage: Bacteria; Pseudomonadati; Pseudomonadota; Gammaproteobacteria; Lysobacterales; Lysobacteraceae. The record is from RNAcentral.